GAUGAACGCUAGCUACAGGCUUAACACAUGCAAGUCGCGGGGCAGCAUGGGGGUUGCUUGCAAUCCCCGAUGGCGACCGGCGCACGGGUGAGUAACGCGUAUCCAACCUGCCCUUCACCACGGGAUAACCCGGCGAAAGUCGGACUAAUACCGUAUGUUGUCCAUUGACGGCAUCCGAUUUGGACGAAAGGCUUGGCGGUGAGUGAUGGGGAUGCGUCCGAUUAGCCAGACGGCGGGGUAACGGCCCACCGUGGCUACGAUCGGUAGGGGUUCUGAGAGGAAGGUCCCCCACACUGGAACUGAGCCACGGUCCAGACUCCUACGGGAGGCAGCAGUGAGGAAUAUUGGUCAAUGGGCGUAAGCCUGAACCAGCCAAGUAGCGUGCAGGAUGACGGCCCUAUGGGUUGUAAACUGCUUUUAUGCGGGGAUAAAGUGGCCCACGUGUGGGCUUUUGCAGGUACCGAAUGAAUAAGGACCGGCUAAUUCCGUG
This 490-nucleotide ribosomal RNA is filed under the name uncultured bacterium. RNAcentral's name for it is "partial 16S ribosomal RNA". It matches the Rfam family "Bacterial small subunit ribosomal RNA", at positions 28 to 507 of the family's 1533-position model. The record is from RNAcentral.